AGUGAACGCUGGCGGUAGGCCUAACACAUGCAAGUCGAACGGCAGCACAGUAAGAGCUUGCUCUUACGGGUGGCGAGUGGCGGACGGGUGAUGAAUACAUCGGAAUCUACUUUUUCGUGGGGGAUGAAGUCGGGAAACUUACGCUAAUACCGCAUAGGACCUACGGGUGAAAGCAGGGGAUCUUCGGACCUUGCGCGAUUCAAUGAGCCGAUGUCGGAUUAGCUAGUUGGCGGGGUAACGGCCCACCAAGGCGACGAUCCGUAGCUGGUCUGAGAGGAUGAUCAGCCACACUGGAACUGAGACACGGUCCAGACUCCUACGGGAGGCAGCAGUGGGGAAUAUUGGACAAUGGGCGCAAGCCUGAUCCAGCCAUGCCGCGUGGGUGAAGAAGGCCUUCGGGUUGUAAAGCCCUUUUGUUGGGAAAGAAAAGCAGCAGGUUAAUACCCCGCUGUUCUGACGGUACCCACAGAAUAAGCACCGGCUAACUUCGUG
This 492-nucleotide ribosomal RNA is filed under the name uncultured bacterium. RNAcentral describes it as "partial 16S ribosomal RNA". It matches the Rfam family "Bacterial small subunit ribosomal RNA", at positions 29 to 507 of the family's 1533-position model. The record is from RNAcentral.